RNAcentral lists this long non-coding RNA (459 nucleotides) under Mus musculus (house mouse). RNAcentral describes it as "predicted gene, 49715". The record is from RNAcentral. Lineage: Eukaryota; Metazoa; Chordata; Mammalia; Rodentia; Muridae.
AGGCUUCAGCUGAGAGGGCGUGGAAAGUGUCUGUGCCCGACUGCUUCCUGGACCUGAGGCAGGGAGUCUUGUUCUCCAGGGUACUGAAACAAAGAUGUUCUUCUCAGAAAACUCAAUAAGCUCAGGGUAGAUUGGGGACCAGGCUGAAGGUACCGAGCGACAAGUGACAUCUCUGUGUAAAUAGUGGGACUGCAUUCUUCCUUUCCUGUUCCCAGAACCUCAAGAUUCUGAAGAGAAAAUACAUCCAACGGUUUGAGGUUUUGAGAUCCUCAGGUGAAGGAACCAGACAUCCCCUCCCGGAUUCUAAAGCAACAAUGGGGAUCACUGCACAUCUUUCCAACUCCAGUAGAUCUCUGACUCCCUCGGCAGCUUCACUAACACACCCUCACAAGAGGUUCUCCUUCUUCGUCUCGUUGUUCUGGCUCACAUCACAAAUAAACUUCCUGCACUAAAACCAAA